AUGUAUCGUUGCGGAAGGUGCCCCUGUGUUUUUAACAAUUUGAUGGACUACGUUGACCACUGUAGACAUGUACAUGAAGCGAGCAGAAUACCGUGCUGUCAUGUAUUAUGUGUGUACACGGCGGCGAACUAUGCAGCACUCAGAUGUCACAUUUUGGGACGUUACAAUAACACACCAGAACGGUCGCCUCGAAGCAAUUUGCUCUCCGAAACCACGAAAGUAUAUCAUGUCACGUCCAUUAGUGCUCGCGUCAGUUCACUACGAAUAUAUAUAUAUACUGUCACAUAUGAAGCAGCACAUAAUAGAAGGUCAUGAUCAGAUGUCCUUAUGAACGCUGCCAGAAGAACUUCCGUGCCGUCUCCGCGUUUUGUGUGCACCUUCAUAUGUUCUUCCAUUGAAAAAAUAAAACGGUGACUAUGAUCUCCUUUCUCUGUGCAGUGUUUCGAUGCCAGAGCUGACUGAUGGGUGCACAUGGUUCCUUCUGUUUUCAUGCCAGAGCUGACUGAUGGGGUGCACAUGGCUCCUUCGUAUGUUCUUCCUUUGAAAAAAUAAACGGCAAGUAUAACUGCAUGUUAAUUGCCCUGUUCCCUGGAACAGUUGCCUUUCUCUUUGCAAUGUUUUGAUGCUAGAGCUGACUGAUGGGUGCACAUGGUUCCUUCGUAUGUUCUUCCUUUGAAAAAAUAAACGUGUUUGGAUGCCAAAGCUGCCACCGUAAAACCACCGUAAAAAAAACGGCCAAUGUUUGGCAGCCAACUUUCCUUGCAUUUGCCCGGUUUUUUUUUUUGUGAAAUUUUUUACAGUGUAUCUCCUCUCGAACAAAGCAUUCUCUGCUUGUCCUUCUUCCUCUUUGUCACACAAUACCUUCGCUUCAAAAUUUUCGAAAUCCUAUACUAGCCAGCACGAAGAAGCGUAGGAAAGAAACGUAACAAAGCACCUGCACCUCCUCCGUCUCUACAAAGCGCGGAAACUCAGUUAUACGGAACCGAUUCAAUUCGUGACGAGAGCACUGCGACACAGAGGGAAUAAUCGUGUUUUCCCCCCACGGCUCUCUCUUUUCUCCCUCCCGAUUACAGUUUUGUAUUUGCAUCUUUUCGCAAUUCGAGCAGCCCCGUUCAUUCGGAGACGUUUCAAUUUUCUUGCCAAUGGAAUUGUCUCGUCCCUUUCGCGGGCGUCUUGCAUUAGCCCUGGUAGUCCGCUUACAGCGAACCGUACUUCCAGCCGUUUCCUUCACAUUGCUCUGGUAUAACGAUUCCACGUGUGUACCUUUUAAAGCGAUUGAAAAUAAACAAAUAGAAGAAAGUUCAUUAAAGUUUCAUUGUGAAAUGUCGUCCUCGGAAAUUACUGCGCGAUGACGGUGGGUCCUGGGAGAUUAGUUUUGAGGGAAGAGAUUUUUCUACCUGAACGGGCCGUGAAAUGAGGUGCGUCUUCGAACAAUGAGCGAAAAAGAGAGAGGGAGAGUGUGUGUGUGAGAGAGUGAGAGAAAUGGAUAGUGAAGUCGUUUUGAGAUGUAAAAGAUGUACUGAGAAAUGUGAAGAAUGGAAAUAAAGGACUUGAUAUGUGAAUCUU
This is a long non-coding RNA of Ornithodoros turicata, 1566 nucleotides long. RefSeq lists it as uncharacterized. NCBI's taxonomy places the organism in Eukaryota, Metazoa, Arthropoda, Arachnida, Ixodida, Argasidae. The transcript is spliced from 3 exons. The record is from RefSeq and is a predicted model, not a curated record.